UCACGAUAUUGUCCAUGCAAGUCAUCCU
Molecule: small RNA, 28 nt
Filed under: Bombyx mori (domestic silkworm)
Lineage: Eukaryota; Metazoa; Arthropoda; Insecta; Lepidoptera; Bombycidae
Description: ovarian small RNA-25261
Source: RNAcentral